Molecule: non-coding RNA, 2604 nt
Organism: Oncorhynchus mykiss (rainbow trout)
Lineage: Eukaryota; Metazoa; Chordata; Actinopteri; Salmoniformes; Salmonidae
Source: RefSeq, a predicted model, not a curated record
CAGAUAAGGACAAGUUUUUCGAGAUAUAAAAAAUACUGUAUGCUAUUAUGGAUGAAGAAAAGGUAGGUUAAAUGACACUAAAUAUUUGGGAAUGUAACUAAGGAAAACGUCAUUUAAGAUAACAUAGGCUAUUGCAAAACAAAUGUCUAAUUCUCUCUAUUAAGUCAAUCACCAGUUUAGCUCUGAUAUGGCUGUAGCUCUAUGAUGUCCUUUGCAAGAAUCUAAUCUGACAUUGACAUGAAAUUCCUAUGUCCUUCAGGUAGUACAGAGAGAUGAUGAGGAUCCCCCGAGGGAGGGGAGGGAGGUUGUUGAGGAAGAACCAGUGGCCCAGCUCAAGAAGGAGCCCAAGAAGACAGGAAAGGCAAUGGCAAGUGAUCUAUAAAGGAUUUAAAAAACCUAUGACAAAGGAACAGCUUGCAAAAUUGUGCAAGACCAUUGUCAACUUCAUUGCACAGACCACCCUGCAGAUCCUGCUGCCGGCCCUGGCCUGCAUUCUAGGGGUGACGGGCUUUUAUGACAACGCUGACUCACUCAAGAGGGGUGGCAGUGCAAGAUCCUUCACUGCCUUUGAGUAGAAAAGACUGGAGCUCAUCCAGGAAGUUAAAUAUUUGGCGAAGUAACUGUGGCGGCAGGGCUCUCCGACCAAGGUCUAGCACACCCUCUUCCAAGAGUUCCCAGACCUCACUGAAAGUCCACCUGGGAAUGCCAGAGGACAGUAUCAUCAGCAGUGUCCAGGAGCAACUGUCAAAAUCUGACCAAAUGGUGGCUGCAGGACAGCUUUCACAAAUAGAUAAAGUGGUUGGAACUAUGCUGGAGAACAUUGAGAAGAUAAGCAGCGAAUGUGGCGAGGAAUUGGUCUAUCAAGAGUCACUGCGGUCUUCCUCCUCGUUGUCAUUCUCAACUGCCAAAUCACAGAAGACAGAGUGGGAAUUUGCACUCCCAUUCCUUCUGAGUUACCCGAGAGUACUGCUCAGCCCAUUGUAAGAUGCUCAGUCAUUGACAUGAGCGAAUCUACUAAGCCAAAAACAAUGGUGUGUGAUGCCAGAACAAGCAUGUUUGCCAUAGCCGAUACCAUCAUGAAGAAGGUAUAUCCAGAGGCAGAAGGGCAGGUUACAUCUCACCCUGAUCUAACAGAUCCAAUAGCUAGACUGGAGGAGCUCAUAUCUCAGGGUAGGAUUGGUGCUCUCUCCCGUGAUCUCAGUCACCAAGUCAACCGCAUAAUUUCCGAUAGCAACUUGACCCCUCUGGGACUGACAGUGGCGGCUGGAAAGAGUGCAUCUGAUACCAUCCUUUCGAAGCUGAAGAGGAAUGACAAGGUGGGGAAGCACACAACUUACGAGCUGGUUCAGCUGUUUGUAGAGGAGUCUGUUAAGUGCCUCCUGCUUCCUAGUUUUGUGCCCUAUUCAACUUCAAUGAGUUUGGCUCAGGGGGCCAAGGUGUUGGCUAGAGUGUCUGAAGAUAGAAUUUCUAGCUCUUCUUCUUCAUCAGUAUUUAGUGACACAGUCAGUCUCUUUACCAAAGUUAUGGUAAGCCAGGUCAUGUACUCUGUGGAUUCUGAUGCAGAAAGUAGAGGAUCCUCUCCAACUGAAUCUCUCCAAACAUCUGAAACCACUAUAUCUGAUGUAGGCAAUCUAUUGAGUGGCAAGUCCUCCCCUCGGCUGUCUCCUUCUGGCACCAUUAUGGCAACAAGCGAGACCUCCAAUGCAGCACAAAUCUUGAAGGCCAACAUUGAUGGAGAGGAAGUGGAUUCCACCAGUCAUUCUGGUGUAGCUCAAAACAUUGUCAGGGACGAUAUGUCAACCAGCCCAGACAUGGUCAAAGAUGUCACACUUCCAACCCCAUCCUCUGAUAACUUGGGCAGUGAUGAUGACGUCACCGGCCUCAUCAGCAUGUUAGUAAUGAGAAUUCUAACAGAAAUCCAAACCCCAGCAGAAGAUUACCCAGUUGACGCAAGUCACAAGACCUGAUCCCUAAAGUUAUGGAGGUCUUCUGUGCAUGGUCAGGCUGCUCUGAGACACAAGCCUAUCCAGAGAACUUGAGGAUUCAUAAAGUCUACAGAGUCGUCUAUAAAAAUCUGUUGGAGGAGUUUGGCUCGGAGAAAAUCCUCCAACAGGCCGUGUCGACUCAGGACUCUUCAUUUGAUAGGAUUCUUGUCAAGUCUUUGAGUGAAGCGCUUCUCCACAGAUGUAAUGAGGCAUUGAGGGCAGCCUCAAGAACAUCAGUCAAAACCACUGGGCCUAAGGCUCUUCCACUGGCUGAGGAUGUGAGGGCUAGCAGCGGGAAACUAUCUUUUCUACAAAGGCUGGUCAGGCUGACAAGCAACUUAAAGCUAUUCAAGAAGGGGAACAAGAAGGAUUCCCACCGCUCUGAAUCAGAACAAGUACAGACCACUGCUGAAGAUGGCAUGCUGCCCAGCAUAGUGCCACAUGCCGCCAUGUCUGCACUGCCAAAGGAUCUCCCCGCCAGCUCCCAACAGGAGACGCCUCACAAACGUCCACUUCUCGUCAGGAUGUUUUCUGCCAUCUCCAAAGGCCUGUUCAAGCCCUUCAAACAGUCCUUAAAGACCAAGUAACUUCAGACAAUUUAUUAAAUGUCAUUCAUUGC